Long non-coding RNA from Ictalurus punctatus (channel catfish), 3549 nucleotides. Lineage: Eukaryota; Metazoa; Chordata; Actinopteri; Siluriformes; Ictaluridae. The record is from Ensembl.
AGGGCACAAUCACACACACACUCACACCAUACACUACAGACACUUUGGACAUGCCAAUCAUCCUACCAUGCAUGUCUUUGGACUGGCGGAGGAAACCGGAGUACCCGGAGGAAACCCCCGCAGCACAGGGAGAACAUGCAAACUCCGCAUACACGGUGGGAAUCAAACCCGGAGGUGUGAGGCGAACGUGCUAACCACUAAGCCACCGUGCACCCUCUUCCUUAUCAGUGUUAAGCAAUAUAUUUCUGCAGACAUUAUAUACAAAUACCACUCAGAUUUGCAUAUUAUUUUAACCUUACUCUUUUGCUGCGAGCUUGUUAACAAACCUGGAUAUCAUGAUAUAUAUUAUGUACUGUAAAGUAUUGCGAUAUGGUAUUUUUGUCACCACGUAAGAGUACGUGUGCUCGCGUCGUGAAAUAUCCAACUAAGAAGAGUCUGAAGUAAAAUAUAUCAAAUAUAGCACAAUUACUCACCGCAAAAUUAUUCUUGAGCGAUAUUAACCAGUGAGAAAUUGUAUUGGUUCACUGGGUGCUCAUAUCAUCAAAACAUUACAUCAGGAAUCUUUUUUAAACACAGGAUGUCAUGCUAUUGUGUUAUUAUUAACAACACACACACGCACACAGAGACAGAGAGAGAGAGAGAAAAUAUACGGGAAACUUCAAAACAAUGCACCUCUAUGGAAGAAAAAGAUUUGUUUCGCUCUUCAUUUGAAACGACAGAGAGACAUGCAAAGACACUAUGAGCUCGAAACGGUUUCAUCAUCACUGGACAUUAAAUUUUAAUUUAUAGGAAUUUAUGAAACAGCCCAAGGCUGGCUGAAACGUCAUCUGCUGGAUGUUGCUUGUGUUAAUAAAGAACAUCCUACUCAGUAAAGUGAACAUUGUAGGCAUGUAAAGUCUGCUCCCUGUUCAUCUGCUCUCACACUGCAUCCUUCAUCCAUUACUCAAAGUUUUUUCGACAUGAAAAGCUCAUGACAAUUUCAUUCCUCAGAUUUGCAUUCUUGAGAGGUAAAGACACGAGACCUCCAAACUCCUCAUUUACUCACCUCCUCUGCUCAUGACACAUCCAUCAUAAGGGCUGAAGAUGAGCUGUUCUCGUUCUGUCGGUCAAACGACCAGAAAUGAUGCUUUAAAUCAGACGAGCAGUGCCACGUUUCUUGGGCAGCAUCCCAGAUACCACAAGUACCUCUCCAGCCCACUGCCGUUUUUCUUCUCUCUUAUUGUUUUUUUUUCUACAGAACUCACAAAUAACUGCUCACUUUUUUUUUUCGAGCACAUCCACCCUCAACUUUCCCUCUCUGUGCCGAUGGAAGCUGCAGCCUUUUCGAAUGGAGUGCUUGAAAACGAUGCAGUAAAGAUAAAAUAAAGUUUACACAGACUUGUUUACUGGAACAGGUUUUAAGCUGAAGCGGAGAGAGUUUUUGUUAGCAUGAGUAGAAUAGACAAGCUCACAUCUCGGUGUGUGGUACAGGUCGAACGCCCAUCAGCUCCCAGGAACUGGCUGUGGGUUUAAGACUUACAUUCCUCACUCUCACUACUGCAUACAUUUCCUGUGAGUUUCACUCUAUUACUGAAUAGAUUGUAGUAGUUACUGAAUAGCUUUAAUGUGAAGUACUGAAUUUUAAGAUGGGUGUUCAAGCAGCUAAAAUCCUGGGUAAAAAGGUACAAGUCAUUGGCUUUUGCCCAUCAUGGAGCUUCUGUGCAACAAGAGCUUUUGCCCAAACAGGGUCUACUAUCCAAUGUGAAUCCUAACUUUCUGCACAAUACGAGACAUUAUAACAAAGCGACACUGAGCUUUGGCCAGUCAGGGGCUUCUGUGCUACAUGGAGCUUCGGCCAAUGAGGGGCUUCUGUGCUACAUGGAGCUUCGGCCAAUCAGGGGAUGCUGUCCAACAUGGGACUUUGCCUACCCAGGGUUUUCGCAAACCAGGAGCUCCUUUCAAAUUUGCCCAACCAGAGGCUUCUGCCCAACAUGGAACUUUGUCUAAAUAGGGGCUUUGGCCAAGCAUGGGCUUCUGUCGAAUACUGGACUUUUCCUACUGAAGGGCUUUGUGCAAUCAGGGGCUUCUGUACUACAUGUAGCUUUGGCCAGUCAGGGGUUCUGCUCAACAAUGGACUUUGCCUACCCAGGGUGUUUGCAAACCAGGGGCUUCUGCCCAACAUGGGACUUUACCAGACCAAUGGCUAAUGUUCAACACUGUACUUUACCAACCCAGGGGGUUCGGCCCAACAUGAGACUUUAACCAGUUAUGGGCUUCUGCCCAGCAUGAGGCUUUGACCAUCCAGGGGCUUGUGCCCAGCAUGAGGCUUUGACCAUCAAGGGGCUUCUGCCCAGCAUGAGGCUUUGACCAUCAAGGGGCUUCUGCCCAGCAUGAGGCUUUGACCAUCAAGGGGCUUCUGCCCAGCAUGAGGCUUUGACCAUCCAGGGGCUUCUGCCCAGCAUGAGGCUUUGACCAUCAAGGGGCUUCUGCCCAACGUGAGGCUUUGACCAUCAAGGGGCUUCUGCCCAACGUGAGGCUUUGACCAUCAAGGGGCUUCUGCCCAGCAUGAGGCUUUACCCAGCCAGGGGCUUCUGCCCAGCCAGGGGCUUCUGCCCAGCAUGAGGCUUUGCUCAUCCAGGGGUUGAUCAGCUCGUCUGCAACUGGACUCCAGGCUCCAGCUGUUGCGUACAAACGCCGGACUCCUGCGCGCUCGCGCUCAACACAAUUACAUGCCGAAACGCGUUAAAAAGCCGCUUUAUUUUUCCAAUCUUCGACCUACACCGAGUGCUGAAGUGUGGAAAUGUUUCCGCUCCUUUGUUCCAUAGUGAGUGUUUGAGACUACAAACUCCCAGUGAGACGGUAAACAAAAGCUGCAGCAGUCUUCACAAUCCCACUGUUUACCGUUAAUCCAUGGCGGAGUGUCAGAGGAAUAAUAACCUCCACCUCCUCCACCACACACACCAGCUUCUCUGAGAGCCCCGGGGGACCUUCACAAAAACAGACUGCACUUUACGGUUUAGAAGACGAGAGGGUUAUUUAAAUACGAUGAAGCGGCACUUUUUUGCCUCGAGCAUCAACACAUACAUUACAGCAACACUUCCGAGUGAGAAACAGAGAACAUUCAGUGGACUAGUAUGAAAAAGUGUGACAGACUUACUGUGCAUUCACUUCCUUCAUGUUACUUUUCCUGAAUCCAGCACAGAACCACGGAGCCACUUUGUUUCAGAUCCACUGUGGGGUUGUUAUCCUCCUGCUCACUUCAAAAGGCUCUCGGACCAAAACGCUCAUUAUCCUGAAAGCCUGCUUCAUGUGAGGCUCCUGGGGGAAAACAUCAUAAAAGGGCACUUUUACAUCAUCAGGACAUCAGUAGAUGAUGCAGAUCUUCUUCACUGAUAUAUCCAGGUGUUCUUUUCGUUUUUGUAAAGUCAUUAAAUACAGUUACGGUGAUGUACCAACUCCUGAGGAUAUGUGAGGAAAGAUGAAGCGGGAUUUUUGCCAUUUGGGGGCACAAGUACUAGUGGGAGGAGUCAGUUUCAUCUAGCCAAUCAGACGCGAUCCAAGUUUAAGCCC